GACGAACGCUGGCGGCGUGCUUAACACAUGCAAGUCGAACGGAAAGGCCCUGCUUUUGUGGGGUGCUCGAGUGGCGAACGGGUGAGUAACACGUGAGUAACCUGCCCUUGACUUUGGGAUAACUUCAGGAAACUGGGGCUAAUACCGGAUAGGAUCUCCUGCUGCAUGGUGGGGGUUGGAAAGUUUCGGCGGUCGGGGAUGGACUCGCGGCUUAUCAGCUUGUUGGUGGGGUAGGGGCUUACCAAGGCUUUGACGGGUAGCCGGCCUGAGAGGGUGACCGGCCACAUUGGGACUGAGAUACGGCCCAGACUCCUACGGGAGGCAGCAGUGGGGAAUAUUGCACAAUGGGCCGAAGCCUGAUGCAGCAACGCCGCGUGCGGGAUGACGGCCUUCGGGUUGUAAACCGCUUUCGCCUGUGACGAAGCGUGAGUGACGGUAAUGGGUAAAGAAGCACCGGCUAACUACGUG
This 468-nucleotide ribosomal RNA is filed under the name uncultured bacterium. RNAcentral describes it as "partial 16S ribosomal RNA". It matches the Rfam family "Bacterial small subunit ribosomal RNA", at positions 28 to 507 of the family's 1533-position model. The record is from RNAcentral.